AUAUUGGCGAGAGACCGAUAGCGAACAAGUACCGUGAGGGAAAGAUGAAAAGCACUUUGGAAAGAGAGUUAAACAGUACGUGAAAUUGUUGAAAGGGAAACGCUUGGAGUCAGUCGCGUUGGCCGGGAAUCAGCCUUGCUUUGCUCGGUGUACUUCCUGGUGAACGGGUCAGCAUCAGUUUUGACCGCUGGAAAAGGGCCAGAGGAAUGUGGCAUCUUCGGAUGUGUUAUAGCCUUUGGUCGCAUGCGGCGGUCGGGACUGAGGAACUCAGCACGCCUUCGGCCGGGGUUCGCCCACGUUCGUGCUUAGGAUGCUGGCAUAAUGGCUUCAAUCGACCCGUCUUGAAACACGGACC
This 355-nucleotide ribosomal RNA is filed under the name uncultured fungus. RNAcentral's name for it is "LSU rRNA". It matches the Rfam family "Eukaryotic large subunit ribosomal RNA", at positions 320 to 667 of the family's 3401-position model. The record is from RNAcentral. Lineage: Eukaryota; Fungi.